GUCCAUGUGUAUUUUGAAUAGGUCCAAUCCAACGGUUGAUACGGAGUGUGUCCAAGUAAAUUGAUAUGUAUCCAAGAAUCAUGCUUUCUAUUCACAACGGUUUUUGUCGAUGGUGCCUACUUUUCAGGUUGCUGUUGCCAAUGGUGCCAAUAGUUCUAUAUACAUAUAUAUAAACCAAAAAAUAUAAUACCAGUAAUAUAUUAAAAUAAUUUGAAUGCAAGUCAUGCUCAUCAAGGUCAUAAUAUCUGCCAUAAAAGGGGGGUUUAGAUAAAGUCAUGUCUAAUAACCAAAAAUCAAGGG
RNAcentral lists this long non-coding RNA (300 nucleotides) under Mytilus galloprovincialis (Mediterranean mussel). The record is from RNAcentral. Lineage: Eukaryota; Metazoa; Mollusca; Bivalvia; Mytilida; Mytilidae.